RNAcentral lists this transfer RNA (85 nucleotides) under Caenorhabditis brenneri. Its description in RNAcentral is "tRNA CBN26880". It matches the Rfam family "tRNA". From Rfam's summary of the family: Transfer RNA (tRNA) molecules are approximately 80 nucleotides in length. Their secondary structure includes four short double-helical elements and three loops (D, anti-codon, and T loops). Lineage: Eukaryota; Metazoa; Nematoda; Chromadorea; Rhabditida; Rhabditidae. The record is from Rfam by way of RNAcentral.
GCCCCGAUGGCCGAGUGGUUAAGGCGUGAGGCGUUUGUCGGUCUCAUUGGGUAACCAGUCGCGGGUUCGAAUCCCGCUCGGCGCA